This 2789-nucleotide long non-coding RNA is filed under the name Capsicum annuum. RNAcentral describes it as "long non-coding RNA (CANN_LNC001634)". Lineage: Eukaryota; Viridiplantae; Streptophyta; Magnoliopsida; Solanales; Solanaceae. The record is from RNAcentral.
AAAAAGAAAAUAGCACACAUAAAAUGGAAUGGAUGGAGUAAUUGUUAUCAUUGAAUAGUACAACUUAGACUGCACAAAAUUUGUAAGGAACAACGGACAAAGGUUGGAGUGCUCAUCCAAUGCAAAAACCUUAUCAAUGGGUUAUUUUUAAAAAAAAAAAUUGAGAGAAUUUUUUUUAGAUAAUUUCAAAUAUAUACAAUAAUAUAAUUAGUUUAUGAUAAAUAUAGUCAUGUUUUAAUUACUAAAAAAGGUAGCCGGAAAGUUUUAAAAAACUCAAGUUUUAGCCACGAUUUGAACUGCGACUAAAUGACCCUUUUUUUAGGUAACUAAAAAUUUUAUUAAUCACCAAGGGAAUUCAUAUAUAACUUCUCGAACGUUGUAUAUGCAAUGUAUCGAUAUUGUAUAAAUAGUGUAUAAAUAGGUAUUCAUAUUAUAUAAAUAGUGUAUGAAUAUGUAUAUAUGAUGUAUAAAUAGUUAUGCAAUGUAUCAAUAUCUAUCUAUAUUAUAUUAAAAGUGCGAAGAGCCUUAAAAAUAUUGUUUGAACUUUUUGCCCUUCAUAAAAAAUCUGUGCUUUAGACAAAAUUAUCUUUUCACUAUUUUCCAAAUAAUUAAAAGUUGAAAAUUAAUUAAAUAUUUAUAGUAGAUCUUUCUUUAUUAGAAGUCAUCAUAAUUAAUAACAACUAAUGUCAUUUUCAUUAGUUUAAAAAUUCUAAAUCAACAAAUGUUGAUUUUAAGAAGAUUUGGAAAAUAUAAAAAUAAAUAUGAAUACGUUAGAAUAAGCAAAAUAUAAGAAGUAUUAAAUUUUUAAAAGUUUUAAGUAAGUAUUCAAAGAUUUUCCAAGAUUUAACUUUAAAAAUAAGAAAAGAUUUUAAAUAUAGAAAAAUAAAAAGAAUAAUUGUAAUACAAAUAUAGUUCAAAUCAAUAUGUUUCUCUUAGCAUCUAGCAGCAAUGAUAAAAUGUACUGCAUGACAAAAUCAAAAGUGACUAUCCAUUAACCACUUAAAAUAUCUGGUGAUAAAAUAUAUAUGUGCUUACAGUAAAAUAUAUGUUAUGUUUACAUUAUUAUAUUAAAGUGCUUAGAAUAAAAUAUAUGUUAUGUUUACAUUAUUAUAAUAAAGUGUGAAAAUGUCUGAGAAGUGAUUCAAACUUUCUGCACUUCAUUAAAAGCCUUUGCAAUAGAUAAAAUUGUUUAAUUUUAAAUAAUUAAAUAUUAUACGUGCGAGGCACGUGCGGUUCAACUAGUUGUAUAAAUAGUGUAUAAUCGUGUGUUCCUAUAAUGUAUAACUAUGUAUCAGAGGUGUAUAUACGCAAUAUAUAUUUUGUAUUCAAUAUAUAUACGUUAUAUAAAUAGUUAUGUGAUAUUGUAUAAUGAUGUAUAAACGUGUAUAUAUGAUAUAUAAUUUACGUAUCGAAAACAAUAAAAAAUGGCCGUAUGUGGAACUCCGGCAAAACAAAUGCACAAAACUACAUUCAUUUGUUUAGUAACUAAAGCACAUAUGAGAACAUAACAACAACAACAACAAGAAGUCCAGUGUAUUCCCACACAGUGGGGUCUGGGGAGAGUAAAAUGUAUGCAGUCCAUACCGCUACUUCCAAAGAAGUAGAGAGGUUGUUUCCAAUGGACCCCCGGCUCAAGAUUAAAAAUGAAAAAAAAGGGUAAUGAAACGUGAAGCAGGAUGGGUGGCUUAACAGCAGUAAAGAAUCAGAAAUAGUAAAAUAGAACUCAGAGCGAUACAGAAUAGGGGAACUAAGAGCCAUAAGCUAUAAUAAAUAAGAAAAACGAAAUCUGGAAUAGGGUACCCGCUUAGUAGUAACCUACACUCACAGACCAAAGCCACCCACCACACCCAAUCUCUCCUGACUAGCGGCUCCUACCUAUAGACACAGUCCUACGAUUACUACCCCGGCUAAACAGGGACUCUCCUAAUUACUUGCUACAACCCAUGUACUCAUCCUGACCUUCUACCCUUAUCCGCGACCUCCACACCUUCCUACCUAGGAUCAUGUCCUCGGUAAGCUGAAGCUGCUCCAUAUCAUGUCUAAUCACUCCCCUCCAAUAUUUCUUCGGUCUCCCUCUACUCCUUCUGAAACCAUCCAAUGCUAGCCUUUCACACCUGUGAACUAGGGCAUCUGCACCCCUCCUCAUCACAUGCCCAAACCAUAUCAGCGUUCCUUCCUGUAUCUUGUCCUCCACCGAAGCCACUCCCACCUUCUCCCGAACAAUCUCAUUCCUAACUCUAUCCUCUCUUGUAAGCCCACACAUUAAGCGCAACAUUCUCAUUUCCGUCACCUUCAAUUUUUGAAUAUAGGAGUUCUUAACAGACCAACACUCCGCUCCAUACAAUAUGGCUGGACGGACUACCACUCAAUAGAAUUUGCCUUAAAGCCUACAGGGCACCUUCCUAUCACACAACACUCCAGAGGCAAGCCUCCACUUCAUCUAACCAGCUCCAAUACGAUUAGAGACAUCCUCGUCAAUCUCACCAUUCCCCUGAAUCAUAGACCCAAGAUACUUAAAACUAUCCUUCUUACAUACAACUUGAGAAUCCAACCUCACCACCACUUCGUCUUCCUGCCUUAAGUCACUAAACUUGCACUCCAAAUACUCCGUCCCUACUCAACCUGAACCCUUUAGAUUCUAGGGUUUGCCUCCAUACCUCCAAUUUUUCAUUCACACACUCCCACAUCUCAUCAAUCAGCACUACAUCAUCUGCAAAUAACAUACACCAAGGCACUUCACCUUGAAUACUCCGCGUCAACACGUCCAUCACCAGCGCAAAUAGGAACGG